CAUCACAUCCGGCCAAUGAGGGGGGGGGCGCUUGUUGUGUAUCCAAAGGAAGGGGGUGGCAAAGGAGAAAGGGACUUGAAUAAAGAAGGGCGAGAAGCAACGGCCAGCUUGGAGCCUCCGUGUCUGAAAGGCUGCUUACGCGAGGUGCGCCUCAAGGGUCGGAAGCGCAGGAGGGGCGGGGCCGACCAUUUGAAGGCUUAAGCUCAAAGGCACAACCAUGAAAGAUCCAAGUCGUAGGAGUACUAGUCCAAGCAUUAUCAGUGAAGAUAUGAUCAUGAAUGGUCACUCUCAUGAAGAUGAUAAUCCAUUUGCAGAAUAUAUGUGGAUGGAAAAUGAAGAGGAAUUCAACAGGCAGAUUGAAGAGGAAUUGUGGGAAGAAGAAUUUAUAGAACGUUGCUUCCAAGAAAUGCUGGAAGAAGAGGAAGAGCACGAAUGGUUUAUCCCAGCAAGAGAUCUUCCGCAAACGAUGGAUCAAAUUCAAGACCAGUUUAAUGAUCUUGUUAUCGGUGACAGUUCGUCACUGGAAGAUCUGGUGUUUGAAGAACUAACCUCUUGGGAAUAAUAAGGACAUGGAGAAUUCAUUUCCAUUGUUCAUCUGUCAGUUUCCUUGAGGUUUUCAGUGAAGCUCAGAUCCCGUUGUAAGUCUGCAGGGUUACAAAUAGUUCUAAAGAUCACAUAAACUCUCCCUUACAAUAUAGUAGAUACAAUAUCAUAGUCUGAUGAUGUUCUCAUUUGGUAGGUAUUCUUAAAAUUCUAUUGCUUUGGUUGUAAAUUAAAAAGCUUAGAAUUUUGUAUAAGAUGAACUAAUUUUUUAGCUGAAAUUUCAGCCUGUUAUCACUUACAGGGAUAUUGUUUUUUUUUUUUUAAAAUGAUAAAUUCUAAACCCAGCCCAAUGCAGACGGGACAAUUUAUUGUGCUUUUGAUAUUUGCAUUAAUACAUUGAAAUAUUACCCUUCCUCUGUGUGUGAAUUGAACACUUAAUAUGGAUGGGCAGGUCUGUUGUGUGAAUACCAAAUGUACUGAACCAAUCCAGUUGCUCUUAUCAUAGGUAAAUUUCCUGUCUUUUUAGUAUUCUGACUGAGAGCAACUUAAAGCAGUUUUUUUUAAUAUAGCACCUUUAAAGUUCGAUUUUUUUAACCUCAAUACAAACUGAAUUCUUUUGUAAUUGCCUCUACCUGCAUAUUAAGGUCAUCCACUCUGCUCUGAAUUUAUAAGUUGGGUUGUAUCUUAUAAGGCACCACGUCAUUUUGUAAGAGCAGGAUUUGUGUACUGUAAGAAAAAUAUAUGAAAGUUCCCGCUGUAUCAUGCUCUGCUUCGUAUCAUGGCCAUACACAUGAAUCCAGAAAUGUGGAUAGGAAAAUAAUAGAUUUAAAAUCUUAGGACUUUGCCAAAUCUCACAAGAUUGAUUUUGCAUAUUUUGGGUGAGAAUAUCAAAAUCUUGUAAAAUGUCAAAUGCCAUUACCAAAUACUGAGAGAUAUGGCAAUUUUCUAAAAUUGCAAUACUUUAUUUAUUUAUAUUGGAUACCUGCACCAUAGAGCAGCUUUGUGGAGCAUAAUCAUCUCUGGCCCACAAAUUGAGAACUGGUAACCUGGUCUCCUUUUAAGUCUAAAUUGGGAUUCCAUCUGUUGGCAGGAAGUUCCAUAGUUUAUAUAUGUAUUGGGCGAAGUAUUUCACAUGACCUCAACUUCCAAUAUUGUAAAUAAAAAGAAGAAUUGGAUCUGUAGUUUCUGCACCAUGCAUGAUGUUAUACCACUUUAUUAUGUCUUUCCUUAUUUACGUUAA
This is a non-coding RNA of Pseudonaja textilis, 1783 nucleotides long. NCBI's taxonomy places the organism in Eukaryota, Metazoa, Chordata, Lepidosauria, Squamata, Elapidae. The record is from RefSeq and is a predicted model, not a curated record.